Long non-coding RNA from Papaver somniferum (opium poppy), 1570 nucleotides. RefSeq lists it as uncharacterized. Lineage: Eukaryota; Viridiplantae; Streptophyta; Magnoliopsida; Ranunculales; Papaveraceae. The record is from RefSeq and is a predicted model, not a curated record. The transcript is spliced from 5 exons.
CCAGAUAUUUGAUUUCGAAGUUUUUUAUUUGUGAAACUGGUAGAGAUGGUUCAUCUUUUUGUGCUGAAAUUUACAGUUUUUUUUUAAGUGUGAUUAGGUGGUUCUUGCUGCUUCCAUUAUUAGUAAAUCUGGUGAAGUCCUUGUCUCAAGGAAGUUUGUGGAUAUGACUCGUAUAAGAAUUGAAGGCUUACUUGCUGCAUUUCCCAAGUUGGUUGGUAUAGAAAAACAACAUACAUUUGUUGAGAUUGAAAAUGUCAGAUUGAAACUGGUUGGCGUUGUUUUUAGGUAAACUUUGUGUUCUUGGUAUUCUUGAUGACAAUGCUAGGGAAGACAUACAAUGAGAAAUGAAAAUGUUAUGUGCCUUGUUUGCAGUUUUGGUUUUUGAUUGUUUAUAUGGUAUGAGUUUGCGCGGUUUUCAGCAUGUAAGAAUGCUUGUAGUUGAUUCGGUUUCUUUUGCCUUGAGAUACCAGUAGUUUUAUUUUCCUUGACAUACCAGUAGUUUUAAACCAUGUCAGCUGGAGCGAACAUUACUCAAGAAUCAUGAAAGAAUCAAUCGAUCAAAUUGUUUACUUGUUACAGAUGCACUUAGCUUAUUUGUUUGUAAUGUGCAAAAUCAAUCCGAACGGGCAUCGAAAGUUGUUAUUUCUUUUUUACAUAGGUUCAGAGUAGGUUCAUUCUAAUAGUAUAUCUUGAUUUGAUAAACAAAUUGUCUGUUAGGGAGACUUGUUUGCACGAGAAAGACACAUUAACUGUAGGAAAUGGUUUUGAGAAAUGUUCUUUGCUCUCUUCGUUAUGCUGUCCAUUUGGACAUGUAAUUGUUUUCUAAUGUGGUUUUUUGUCGUCUUGAUUCUUAAUAUCAUUGAAGAUUCCACAAAUUAUUUCCUUAAGUCUAUUCAGGUUCCCGAAUAUUGCCCCGCUAUAGAUGUAGAAGGAAUUUUCCAGUCAGGGUUUGAGUUGAUUUUUGCUUUCAAGCUCAGAUGGAGUCUGGAACCAACUCUGCCAUCCAUUUCAAAACACAUCCAAACAUCAACAAAGAGUUGCUUUCAAAUGAAAACAUACUAGGCCUGAAAGAUCCAAAUUGACCUUUUCCAAAAUGUCCACCUGGUGAUGCAGGUGUUAGUCUCUUGAGGUGGAGAAUGCUGAGUACUGACGAGUCUUUAGAGCCCCUGACCAUCAAUUGCUAGCCGUCUGUAUCUGGAGGUGACAGUUAUGUUAGCAUGGAAUAUGAGGCAUCAACUAUGUUUGAUUUGCACAAUCUUGUGAUCUCGGUCCCCCUUCCUGCACUUCGAGAUACAUCAAAUGUGAGCCAGGUUGAUGGUGACUGGAGGUAAUUGGUUCUUUUUGUGUUGGAAGUACCGUGCCAUCAACAAUAAAAGUGAGAAUUGCAGUGUUGAGGCUCAACUCACCCAGUCCAAGAAAGAGGACUGACGGAAGGAUACCAGCAUCGCAACUACUUGAGAUAUCUGUUGUCUUUUGUUGUCUUUUUAUUUUCUUGGAUGUUGUCUCCUUUCUUUUAUGUUACUUGAACAAAGAAUACUUGUGAGAUUGGGUUUUUAUAAUAUAUGAUGAU